CGAGUUCAGUUCUAGGCCUGCUGGCGACGGAGAUAGUCGAGUGACUCCGUAGCUUGAAGGAAUAGAAGCGCCCGUCUAGCGAAUUGGGAGUCGUGAGUUCGAGUCUCACCGGAGUACGUGGAUUUCUUUUCAUAAUUUCAAAUCUCAAUUUGUUCAUCGAGCACAUGUUCUGUUGUGCACAUGGAUGUCAAAGCAUUUUCAACAGUGUAAUUUCCCACAUGGCUUGGUCAGCCAAAGCAAAAUCAAGAAAUUGACAUUUGUAAGGUGCUACGGUCACCCUUACCGUAUUCGGUCGGCCGAGGACCGACCCGUCGAGAGUCCGACUGCACACUAAUUGCCAUACCAAUAAGUGAUUGGAAGGCAGUGCCCGAAGCUCUCGACAAUUAAAAAUAACUUCCUCUCCCGCUUUGACAUACAUGUGCACAACAGACAAUGUGUUAGAUGUUCAUCUAAUCCCAUCCGAAGGGGGUUUGGAUUGUGAAAAGAAGAUAACCAUGUGCGAUUGUGGAAUCGAGUUCAGUUCUAGGCCUGCUGGCGACGGAGAUAGUCGAGUGACUCCGUAGCUUGAAGGAAUAGAAGCGCCCGUCUAGCGAAUUGGGAGUCGUGAGUUCGAGUCUCACCGGAGUACGUGGAUUUCUUUUCAUAAUUUCAAAUCUCAAUUUGUUCAUCGAGCACAUGUUCUGUUGUGCACAUGGAUGUCAAAGCAUUUUCAACAGUGUAAUUUCCCACAUGGCUUGGUCAGCCAAAGCAAAAUCAAGAAAUUGACAUUUGUAAUUUUGUUGUUGGACUUUGCUCGGGUUGCCAGCAGUCUAGGUAAUUUAUGUGUAUUCAAGUAUUAUUGUCUGGAAACGGAGUGCUAUGCUGAAGGAGUCGAGUUACGGUUCAUGUGGGUUUUGCAUUUGAAGUGAUUUCUGGAGUGCCAAUGACAUAGGUCAUUGCUAUGUGAUAUUUGAGAAUACAUAACAACGACGUGGGUCGUCGCUCUAUGUUGUUUGAGUAUGAGUAUAGGCUAUAAAUUAUUUUAGGGUGCUGAUUGUCGUUUUGUAACCAAGCAACAAUUAGCUGAUUAUAUGAAAGUUGUACGUUUUUGUCAAGUCGGUUUCUGUGACUGUAGGGAAGUUACAAUCACAGAACAUGUGGUGAAGAAGUCAGGUGAUUUAUGAUAUGAUGUAACUAAAUACUCUACACUUUACUAGAAAUUUUAGUUUGCUCUGAGGGAUGAAUUCUUCUUCUUCGACUAGUUUCCUACAAUGCGUUGUCCUUACGUAUUACAAGUAUACGUCACUAUUGAAACUGAUCACUAACAUGGUUUAACGGACCAUGUCACGAAGCGGAAUAAACGCGCCGGACUUUACUUAAAGACGAUAGCCUUGCUGGUGAUAACCAGAAGGGUCGCUUACGGAUUCUUCAAACUUAGUAGUCGAUAGCCAGAUUGGAGACGUCCAAUUGGGUCGAGCUAAGAAUCAGAAUUGUUCUGUCUUUAUUCAGAAUAUGCCUUUUAUAUGAUUUCUAUAUUUGCGGUUAUUCUCAUAAGUAUGUAUGUUAAAAAGAGGCGGUUAUUGCCUGAGGGAGACAACUGGAGUGACAAUGUGACAAAAAUGUAUAAUAACGCUCGGUUUGACUCACUCUUUUUUCUUGAUGAAACUGCGCGGACCGGGACUAGGCCUCUCAACAGGGCGGAUAGACUUCGGUUCCUUCCUUCGGGGUCGGCAACGGCGCACACCCAGUAAACAUUUUGGUCUGUAUAAUUUGUGUUAUACACUACUAUAUAAGAACCAAUUCAAUCGUAUAAACUGCACAAAACUGCUAUAUACGUACCAAAGUGGAGGCCAUAUACAUACUUCUGACGAUAUUUCGCGAUUUCGUAUGAUCAUCAUUACGAUGUCCCGAAUAAUCGAUCGAAAGAAUAAAAUACGACUUCGGGUGAUAUGUAAUACGAUGUCCAAAAUUAGCUAUAAAAAAAGUUGACACCUAGCCUAGAACACGGCACCUCGAGAUUGUGAGUCUAAGCCCAUACCAUUGUACUAACUGAUCUGCCUUGAGAAGAGCACAAAUUUUUGCCAAUAUAAGCUAAAGAUUUCUAAACCACCCAUGAAACUUGCCUUUGCCUUCCUAGAUGAGUGCAGAUAUGAAGAAUGGGCUGCAAUUUUUCCAAAGUCAUUACGAUUUCAUUUAUUACAAUGCUGUAAUGAUACAUAGUAUACCUAAUGAUGAGUUGUCAAUUUAUAUACAACUCGUAGCGAGUUGGAUUUGCACAUUACGACGUGUUUUGUUUAUAACACCAGUCCCGCAUCAUGUGUACGUUUCGACGACGACGUCGACGUCGUUGUCGUCGGCGUCGUCGUCGCGUCGUCGCGGGAAAAGUUUACUGCUCAUGUAGGAAUAAUUGUGAGACAAAUGUCUUCCUUCGGUAACUAUGAACACUCCCAAAGAUUGCCCGAAUAUCAUUAUUGGCAAAGAGAAUGUUUCCAGCCCCAAAACAUAAUCAGCGGCCAGGCGGUGAUGAGCAAGGCAAGUGGGUAGCUUUUUUCAUUUUGCAUCGUCGCGGUGCCGAAAUUCAUUAAGUCAUUACGAUUCCCAACCAAAGUUUAUUAACAUUAUAUAUGACUUGUAAGCGUAUGAAAACAGUGACGACUUCAAUUAGCGCGAUUUAUGACUUGCUUUAUACACAACAAAGUUACUCCAAAACAAAUCGCAGCAACGAUUUAUAUACAAUUUGACUUCACAUUUUUUAUCACAACAUUCAACGGUUUUUACGAUUUUGAUUUCUGACAGAGCGAUAUACGAUUUUGAAUGCACCUCCCAUUACGAUCUGUGGUUUACUGGGCACCGGGACUAGGCCUAUCUACAGGGCGGAUAGUCGUGCGCGGACUGCGUUAUCGUCUUCUCCAACGGAUCGGGACGAUCUUUGUGAUUCUUUGGAUAAAUAUUUUUUCUCGGUUGGUCCCUCGCCAAAGGAUUACGGGGGACGAACGAGUUUCACUGAUUUCACCGGUGGGUAUCGGCAAACUUGCCCACUUUUUAUAUUCUUCGGUUUCUUUUAUCAGCGACACUUGGGAAUCAAUUUCCCGGAAAUAUUCCAUCAUAUAGUUCACUUCGUCCUCGAGGUUACUGUUUAUUUUUGGCGCUAGGCCCACUAGGACGUAUUUCGGCCGGAGCCCACUUCAAUCUUCACGUGUAAUUGUCUGUGGCCUCUUCACUGGCUGCACUUUUCACUGCAGUCAGAUUUCGACUGACUGGAAGUUAAAUAAUCCUGGAUGUUUUUGGCGAAAACUAUCUUGUAUUACUUAGGUCACCGGUUAGGGGAUCGAUUUUUGUACGACGUUUGCAGGACACCCUCCAGAGGUCCUCUCUGGAGCCACCAAAAAUGUCGCCGCCAGUAGCUACUUUGGUCUCCGGUUAGGGAGACCGUUUUCACUACUGAUUGUGAAUUUUCACUUGGUGAGAAACUGUUUCAAAAAUAACCUUAUCCGGUUUCGGAUAAGUGAGAACACUUUGGAAUGAUCUUUGAACUUCCACUUUAUUUACAAUUCUUACAGUGUGUAUCUUAAUUCUACGUGUUGCAUUAUUGAUGUAUAAUAGUUAGGUUUAUAAGUUGUCAAAAACGGAAUUUUCAUAUCCCUUUCAGGACCUGGGAUUUACAAAAUAUGUCAUAAAUCUAAUAGAAAAAGGGCUUGGACUUAUUUGUCGCUGAAUAGGUUGAUAUUUUAUUUAUUUCCUCUUAUGUGCUAUGUCCCUCUCGAAUCUGGGAUUUUCGAUAUUUUUUUUUAUCUGUUUUCAUGUUUUCUAAUUUCAGAACCGAAGAGGCUUAUUAGUUAAGGCGUGGUUUAAAAGUAUAGAAUUGUGAAACAUUUGUACGGUUUUUAAUCUAGUUCCUAUCUAGCACUAAGGGUGAAAAGAUAUGAAAUCUUAAGCUAUCUGCUAUUCCUAAGCCACAUGUGGGCGUGUUUUUCCCUAGCUCGAGUGCAUCUGCAUAUGCAUGCUUAGUCCUAUUUCAAGUGGUGCAAUAAAGUUAUGUAAUCGGAGGUCCUUAUUUUGCGCUCUACUUUUUAUUUCAUUUUCUCAUUUUGGUAUCGGCAUCGACCAUGCUUCGAUGGACCGUCGGGAAAUUGGUUUCUAUGGCUGGUUUUUUUAUUGGUUACUCGCGGCGAUACCAGGCCAAACAGUUAAAGCACCGACGAGAUUUUACCGUUUUGUCCCAUCUCUGGGUUGGAGAGAGUUCUUCGAAGGAGGCGCAGACCCAAAUGGGGUGUCCACCUCCUCCGCAGGCAAAGCAGGACUGUUUCUGUGACUCGCCCUGAAUGUCUUUUGCGCAUUUGGCUUCCUCAGCAUCCUUCUUUGACACGAUUGCCGCUGCUAGCGUCUUUGCAGUUUGGCCUUUGUGCUCCUCAAAGUCGGAGCGACAGGAUAGUUGAUUGGCGUGUUUCUCGAGUUCGCUUUUGAACUCCACCCAUGAGUAAAUUUUCUGGAGACUCAUCUUCUCCUCCAUUUUUGCGAGAGUCCCUUCGUCCAUGUUGUCUUUCGCCAAACAGACUAGUAGACCGUUGGCGAUGCAGUUGAGGGAUUGGGUUCCCUCGCCCGCGAUUUGUUUCGCGGACGUGUUCAUAGUGUCGAUCGUAUCAAUGAUCGGCAAUAUGGAUUUGGCUGACGGCUUCGUAGCCUUAUUUUUAAUUUGAGGGUCUUUGCGAAGUGACCCUCAAAUGCGAGGCGUUUCUUAUAGAAGCGUUCCUCUAGUUUGGCCCAUACGGCCCUGCCUCACCUUCGAUUUUGAGCAACACACUCGUUGCUUGGUCGAAAAGUACCCGUAGGGUAUCUCUUCGAACAAGGAUGGCCUCCAGCGGUGGAGGCUCAUCGUCGCUCUGUUCCUCGACGAAGUUCGCGAUGGAGUUGACGGACCCCUCGAGGGCCGUGAGCUGGCGGCGCCAGCUCUGGAUCAAACUCUCACCUUCGUUGUCGGGCAUGUCACAGCUGAAUUUCUUUUCGCAUGGGGGUUGAUUAAUUAAAUGUACAGCAUUCAGGGAUCAUUUCGUGACUUCCUCUUUGGGAGUGGUGCAGGUUGAGCUGAGCGGUCACUGUUGGAAGCACAGGGUAGAUCGUGACCCGAUCUAAUAGUUCAGCGGUCUCGGGACUGUCAGUAGGCGCUGUAGGACCAACGACGUCCGGGGUAGGUUUCUCGCGAUGGCUCAUAGCUCUAUGGGUGAAAAAGGUCGUGAGGGAAUCCCAGAACGCAGCUACUAGCUGCCAUCCCAGUCCGUAUAGGUCAUACAGUAUUUUUCCGUGUAUAACAGUGUCGAUCAGGAAUUUGAUAAGCUUACCUAUCAUGUAAAACCCUAUCACUGCGGUGGUGAAGUGACCCACCCAUGAUGCAAAUCCAAGAAAUUUGAGCCAGUACCGCUGCACCGUCCCUUCGACGACCGAGUCAGGAAUCAUAUUCUCGAUAUCAAAUGCCGUUGAUGAAACAUGUCGCCCCUCGAGCAAGUGCUUUAGGUAGCCGACCGUUGCAUAGACGUGUCAAAAAUUACCGUUUUCAUCUGUUCCACUUGGUCCUUCGUAUAGAUCCCCGAUCUUAUCAAGUCAGGGAUAUGAGCGUUUGUCCAGUUCGCACGCAUCCCGCUUUUCAGUGUUUCCGGUGCCGCGGCCUCCUGAAUCUUCCCAUCGAUCGUGUACCACUUGUCGCCAAACCGGUACUUAGGGGAAAGAAACACAACUUUCGAUUUGGUUCCCUUCCUUCUGUAGUAUCCGGAUCAUAGGCGUCAUGUACCAUGGUUAUGUUGCCCAUUCUGACAGGAAUCUCAUGAAAGCAGGUAUCUUGCGUCUCGAGGACGACAUACACGGGCUUACAUUGGAUAAGAUAAAUUACCUCACCCGCUACGACUGCCGUAUACCCAUCUUGACGCAUCAAGUCUGCGGCGAAAUUAUUAGGAUAGAUCCGCGCUAAGAUAAGCUGUGUACCUAAAACCUUCCUUUCCAACUCGCAAAUAUCUCUAUAUAGGUAAAUCGUCAUACAUUCUUUCUAAUUGGUGUUGUAUAUGCGAUUCGAGCAUAUUAAUUUUGGAAUUGAAGUAAGUGAAAAUGUCGAGGUCCUUUCCAUAGGCAAUCUUGUUGAGGAAGACACGGUGGUUGUUUUCUACUUCGUAGAUGAAAAUUUCCGGGUGAUCAGUUCUGUAUACCGUGUAGCCACAAGCCUCGGCAGUAUCGAAUGCUCGGAUACUGAAUAGUCCGUUCGUCUGCUGGGUGCUGUAAAUCGCUACCUCUCGUGAUAAUGCCGAUGACGGCUCUGAAGUUUUUUUCACGAUCCCGGAGUAGAGCGCAAUGUAUUCCGACUUCGCACAUUCAGGAGUUACAGCUGUGUCCCACGUUACGCUGCCUUCAAGAGUAUCUAUGCAUGACCCUCGCUCGGGAGAAAACACAGGAUAGGCCAUUCCUAAGAUCAAUCGUGUCGUCUGGCACAUUGGCGAUGGCAUAGUAUUCAUAUAAUCGGAUUUCAUACUUUAAUUUGACAACCACGUUCUUUCAUGUGAUUCCGCCGCUGGUAUACGUCCCUCCGUCACACGAAUUACCGUCCAGGCUUCCCUCGAUGACGAUCUCACCUCGAGACGUAGCAUAAGGCAUGAUGUCUUGGAUGCUCCGGUAGUGAUCAAAUUCAUAAUACCCUGUGUUCAGUCCAAUAUUUGUGAACGACGCUGUCUGUGAGGUUUUCUGAUAUUAACACAUCAAAGUGAAAUCCUUGAAUACUGGGACUGUGACCAGUUAGAAUCUUGUGGACUACAUUUGAUGCGAUUCGCUUGUUUCUUUGGUCAUAGAUCACUGUUCGCAUCUUUUGUAGGUUCUCUGCAUCAUAUACACCGCUUUCCAUUAGAUUCGGGAGCGGUUGUAUGGCCACUUGGUAACUAUAUCUGUAACAAGUUUGUGAGGCGCAGUGGUUUCUCUUAUCUUAUCGUCGAACCAAAUUGAAAUUUAGCUGGCAAAAGCGGUGUACACUCUAUUUCCGUUCCUCGUAGUUGAAGUGUUCGAGUUACAGGUGACAAAUACAGUUGUAGUAUUUCCAUAUUUUACCGGCAAUUCUUGGAAGCAUCUUUCGGAUGCAAACGGUUGAACGUAUACUGGUUUACAUUCAAAUACGUGCAGCGCUUCUCCUGCUACUACUGCCGAAAAUCCUGUUCUUUUCAUUAAGGCAUUUACGAAUUCCGUCGGAUUUUGUCUGGCUAGAACUAGAGUAAGUUUUGUUUCUAGCAAUGCCUUGUCUAUCUUACACGUUUCGGUCAUGACUGUGUGGUAGACAUCAUCUAAUUUUUGUCCGAUGUAGUUCUCAACCAAUGUUAUUUUUAAAUUAAAUAUGUGAAUAUAUCGUGGUUCUUUGCGUUAGAUGGCCUUCUAGUAAACGGUGAUUUGAAUGCUGCUGCUUUCAGAAUAAAUAUUCUGGGAUGAUCAGUUGCGUGUCCGUUAUAACCGCAUAUUUUUGCUGUAUUCUUUGUUCGAAUAGAAAUCAGGUGGAUAUCCGAUGUAGACGUAUAUACAGCAUUUUGGUUUUCUUUAGGUGCAUUUAAAUUGAUUGUUUUGCUGACGUUUUCUUCGUAUAUAACUUCGAAGUCGGUUUCUUCCCAUUUCUGAUUCAUGCUAACGUCCCAUGUGGAGUAGCCAUCUGCCGAAUUCAAACAAUUACCGUGCGAGUAUGGACAUACUAGCCCAUGACGCAGUAUUGUUUGGUCAUUCUCAUGGUCCACUGUAGCCAUGUAGUUGUAUAACGAUAUCUCAUAUUGGUAGUAGACUAGUGCGUUUGUCCAUGUAUAUUCCGGCGUUUUAUAAGUACCACCGCUGCAGGAACUUGACCAUACACUGCCUACCACUAAUGUUUCGCCUCUUGUAGUUUGAUUACGCUUCAAUUCCAGAAGUCCGCUAUUCGCUGUUAACGGGAUGCUUCCCAUUAACUGAGUUCUUCUGCAUUCCUCAGGCAUAAAUUUUUAGAAUUUUUUAUAGGAAUAUCCUCGUUCGUAGUCUGAAGUGUGAGAGUGCAUGCCGCAAUGUCGUAUUGAUCUUUUUAUAAUUAAUUUACAUUGAUUUACCAUUGUGCUACCUUUGGCAUUUCUCUGCAGCACUUGUAUGGGUACUUCUGAUAUUGGACAGAUUUUUUGAUGAAGGCAUACAUGAUUCAACAUCUAAAAGUGAAUAAGAUGUCAUAUUUACGUCGGGGUUCGCGCAGUCGUAUGCUAUCAGUCCAGACGGUUGAGCUCCUAAUGCUGACAUGACAAAAUACAUAGCCAUUAGGAUGACCAUAUACCAUGGCGCGGUGAUAAUUGUUUUUUUAAUAACCCUCUUUCUUGGUGGACUUGCAUUCAUUUAGUCUCGUAAUGCCUUCACCUUUUCAACAUCCACCUUACACCUUUUACCCCCCAUGAGUUGAAGUUAACGUUCGCCUUCUGCUGCAUCGUCGCCUCUGAUGACAUGGACAUGCUUGAUUUGGAAAGCAAAGAUCUUAUCGGUUGUAUUUCUUCCCGGUUGUAAAAAUGUGAAAUCCUUUUUCCUUUUGGUUUAUAUUCGGCUUCAUCGGCCAUAAUUUCGCUGUGAUGAUUCAGGUGAUGUAUGUCAUCGCGUCGUGGGGUUAUCAUAUUCUUGACAAUGCUUGGCUCAGGCACUGGCUUCGCUAUUAUGGGCUUGAUUUGUAAACCAUCUAGUGAAUUUGAUACUUCGUUUAUAACUUUGGGUUGGACUGCCUGUGAGGUUGCUUUAUCCCCCUUGACAUCCCCCUUGACCGGCCACGUCCUUACGGUCAUCGAGGAAGGGAAGGAAUGUUAGUGUGUCACGGGAAGGAGUUUUUGUUAGUGGGGAGGGGGAGAGUCACAUGAUUUGGAUUCACUUUGGUAAGUGAUGUGACUCUUGCAACCUUUAUUUGAGUCAAAGCAUUUAUUCAUUUUGACUAAAAUACUACAAAUGUCGACACCGAAGAUGACGAUCCAUUCAAAUUUUUGUGUAAAUGCAAAAAAAAAAACGAAAGAAAAGUAUUCAUUAUCAACUAGUUUGAACUAGCGCCGACACAUGACGUGACGAACUUUUCAAUAUUUGUUAGAUAAAUACACAAAAACCAGAGCAGAAUUUUAUACAAUGGAACGAGCUCACCAAUAAACAUCGUUCGAAGUUUCCAGUGCGUAUGUGCUGCAGCAUCUUCCACUAACUGGCCUCUUCUCCGAAAUCACACUGAACCGCUACAACUACACACGGGUACGACGAUGUGCACAUUCAAACUGACGACGACUACGCGGCCGAUCCGAAUGAAAAAAGCGGCAUUUCCACUUUGCCUCCAAAAACACACCAAAAUAUAUUUACAAUUUUGGUUACAUUUCUGCCACCCUACUUAAACUUAACUUAAGCUUUACACGCCUAGCGUACCUUUCUCCGUUCUCACUCUCUUUUUACAACUUUUUUUUUGUACAACGAGAAAACAUAGCAAGAGAGAAAGCUCGCGUCUCUUACUUAAUAUCUAACUGGAAGCGACUAGAAUGCUUCCUCGUAUGAUUCAUAUGUCCAUCUAUUAUUUUAUACCCCAGUUGUCUCCGAGUGUCCGUAUCGGAAUUCGUCUCGAGUCUCCAGUGUCUUCCACCUGGUGAUGCAUUCAUUUGGUUGAAGAUGUUCACUCUUUUCCUCCGGUCAGCGAUUCGAUUUCACUCACUUUUGCUAAGACAACUUUUCUUGGGAAUCCUACCGACCUAGCCAAGUAAGAGGCGGCGUUCGGUAGUUUGAGUUUUUCUUUUUUAAAGCUAACCCUACGAGGUAUAAGAUCUAAACACUGACUGACUUCCUGUCUUUAUUCACAAGUCUGUGUUGGAUCUCGUCUCAAGUCCUCAGUAUUCCGCUGCGGAUGCCUUCCUUAGAUGAAGAUGAUCUGAAUCCUUUUCUUUCAGUUCGCGGGUAAAUUCACUACAUUGCUAUGCGCAUCGAUCGGUGCAGCCGUUCCAGAUGUGGUAUUGUGUCAGGACCCGUGACUCGUUACAGAUGAGGUACGCGUGAGCCGUGACGGUUCCAAAACAGGUACAGCCCGCGGCAAGGCGGCGGCGGUGAAAUGUAGAAAUAAUAACCUUCUCGUUUUGUGUCUCAGAUAAGACUGUCUUUAUUUUGAAAGGUAAACUAAAUCUACCUUAAAUCUACUCUACAUUUGAUGUUUUUCACAAACACAUGUGAAAACCAUCCCUUUUUACCUACGAUCAUAUGGUUCGACCAAGGUCAUGGCGGUUUUUAUGUCAAAACUUGUUUCCGUCAUUUUGAAGAAGAAAGUUUUCAGUUUACUGGUCAGAAUGUUUGAAGCUUCGUAAUGCAAUUGUCUUGAUACUUUAAUAAUAUGGUUUAACUACCUAUUCGAGCAAGGCUGUAUCAUCUGUUUUUGUUCGAUUAGAGAAGUCAAUUCAUUUAAUUGCUCUAAUUGCCCAACCAAUUGCAAUGUAUCUUUUGUGUUUUUAUUGUUAACGAAUUUCUCAACGUUAUUGGCCAAAAGUUGUAAUAUUCCGAAUGCAUCGGUUAAACUUAAAUCACUCAUUUAUUCUUACACUUGGAACAUUACCAUGAUUUAUCGUUAUAAAGCUAUAUUUUAAUUUACUUGCCAUUCUAUGUGGUAAGCCAGUAGAGAUUUCGUUUCCACUCGUUGAAAUCUCCUUGUAGUGUAUUCAGGUUACUGCACUACCUGGAUGAUUACCUUUCGGUAUUCGGUGGAUGAAGCUUACGAUACCAUGCUAUUAGCGUAGACACAAUCACUUUCGUGGGUUUCACUUUUGUCCUCUGGCUUUCCAUUGACUAUAAAGUUCUCAUUUUUAUUGUUUGUUUCUCUUUUUUGUUCACUUUGCACCAUUUUCCUGUGUAGCUUCUGUCAUCUUUCGCGUUCAAUUGCGUAAAACGCUUUCUUCUGCGUCGUGCUUAUUUUCGCAUGAGUUUUAUUCAUAACUGCUUUGUCGUUUACAUUGGGAACGCAUACUGGUUCAUUCACAUCGUCCCAGCAUCCCAGCAUUCUUCCAUUUUCACAGUCUUCUUGUUUGUCGUCCACUGACUGAAGUUUGAACAGUAUUACCUGCAAAUUGUGUGAAUGCGAAUUAUAAAAUUACCGCGUCCGCGACAGCACUCAAAGCAGUCUCUUGUUCCUCUCUGGAGCCACCAUAUAAUAACAAAGGUGUCUGUAGUGUAACGAGACGUUUUGGACACCCCAAGUCGAAGGUUCCACACGAUCAUUUGCCUGAUGAUGAUUCAGUGUGGGUCUGAACCGGUUCAUCCGGUUGUUACUAGUAAAUUCGAUCGUUACAAUGUGCUUCGUAUUGUAUAGUCUUGAAAAAUCUCUUUGAACAUCUAGUACAUCUAGUUUCUUAAAGCGUCUUGUGGUGUGUAAAUAGCCAUAUUUUACUUCUUCACGGAUUCAGUAACGUGUAAGAUUUCAAUUGUAUGAAAUGCUCUCACUGUAAUUCCUAUUUUCAAUCCAGAUGAUUUUACCUGGGCAUCCCGUACACCCCAACCCGGGCGUUAGAAAGCCUUUGUACUGCUAAAACAAGUGUAGAGGCGAAAGUCGCGGCACUGGUCUUUUUCGGAUUCACUCAGACUGUCCACAACACUGUUUAACACAUUUAUUCAUUUUAUUAAUCUACAUUAGGUCCACCGCACUUAACACCGCAACUUAACAAUUCGAUCACAAAGAACUCGCGAAAAACACCCCGGUUUCCAGCCGAGAACAAUUAGGAAAUCAACGACCGACGACGAACGGCCGGCAAACGGACCCCGCGGACAGACAGAAUGGAUACCACAACAAUACAACGCCGCCCCGGCGUCAAUCGCGGGUCUUUUAAUUUGCCGUCGCAAGAACUCAUUCUCCCGAUCUGAAAAGAAAUAAGAGAAAAGAGAAAAGCCAAAACGGGCGUCGUCCACUCUGGCUUCAUUAGUUCGGCCGCGUGACUGAGACCUUGUUGGGGUUCAGUCAGCGCUGCCGGGCGACAAACAAAAAUUAAAAGAAAAACAUUUCUCCGGCAUUGGAGCGAGAACGUUAUAUCACCAGGUCAACCAGCAACAAGCAGUAAGCAUUCUCUCUGCUUGCAUCGCUUGUUUCUUGGUUAACCGGCGUUGGUCUAUAAACAUGACCGUGAAAUCCACAUGUGAUGUAAUCCACUAAUUGCGUGGAGCACCAUGAGGAAAUAAAGGGUCUUUCUUAGAUCAAUGGUGAUCAUUGAUCUUUAGAUUUAUUCGAUACAGGGAGGGAAAUGCUUCCUUCGGUCGGCAGGACCGCUACACAAGCUUAUUCAUUGGGUUUAGAAAAUAGAAUGCCUUUUAUUUGUCUCGUCUUUAGUUUUUAUAAAAUUACAUUUUUCACUUAGUCAAUACAUAUAUAAUUAAAGAUAAUCGAAUUCAAAUACGGAAAGUCUAUCUAACUCGGCGUCGGGGCGUUACUUUGACAACCAUUUGUCAUACGGUCUUCUGAUUGGUUCGUCGGCGUCGGCUUGGAUUAGUUAGACAAGGAAAAUGGAAUUAACAAUUUGCCCGGUACAACGCGUGGUUUACCCGCGUAAUCCUUCAGGGGAUUGUCGCCCCCGGCUCGGAUGCACAGCUGGAAGGAGGUAUGGGCCAGGCUUGGGAACUGCUUGGCCGAGGCAGUUGCCAUUUGGUUGUUGUACCCGAAGUACACGUUUCCGUCUACGGCUGUUAUCGCAGUACAUGGUCCUGCUGAGGCUUAUUUGGACUACAACAUUCUUCUUUUAUGAGUAUUUUUUAAAAUUUGCUCACUUAGUCCAGAGUUUUCUACGGAAAUUAUUCCAUGUUUCCUUCUCUCAAACAGUUCAUUCUGUCACUAAAUUUGCUAAUUCUGUCAUAUUGUGUAUAUUUCCCUUCACUCAUCGUUUAUUUGUUCACCGUAGUUUCAUUUUAAGCUAUCAUUGAAUACCUCUUUUUCAAAUGUCUUCUGAUUGGUGUACGUCUUAAAUAACUGAUACAUAGUAAGAGCUAGUUGAAUUGUCACGACACCAAAAAUCAACCACAAUAAAAGUUCAUGGUUCUCGAAAAGUUCGGUGUGUAACAGUUGAUUAUUUAUGGCCCUCACUUUUGGGUCACCGUUGCGUUCCACUUUAGAUUUACUCUGGGAUUGCCCCAUUUUUUUCCUUACACUUUUUACGAAAAUUACUCUAUUUUUUUUGCACAAUCACUGCAGUUUUGAAGUUGAUGCAGGGCAGCGACACUUUUUGCUGCUGUAAAUGCCUGUUGUCUUACGAUCAUAUGCUAUUUCCGUUUUAAAUUGUAAUCAUUUUUUUUCAAAAUGGUUUUAAAAACAUAGCUGAUGUUUUCUUAUAUCCUUAUUUUGUUAAAUUUGUUUAGUUUAUAGUAAAUAUUUGAUGCAAUUCAUUUAUUUAAAAUCACCAUACUCUCCAACACAGGUUGUACUAUCAUUUAUUUUGAUACCCCUCGUAAGUUCUAUUUGCGAAGACUGCGCUCGAUGCAGUCUCUCCUGUUCCUCUCUGGAGCCACCAUGAGAAUCAAGUUCUAUGCAGCAUUUGUUUUAAAGCUUAGCGUGUAAUAUUUAAUUAUCUUGAAAUAAUAAUCAGUGUAGACGGGAGUAAAACGAUUCACAAUGAAUUUAAUAUUGGUCGCAGUGGUCAGGUCCUCUGUUUAAAUAAACUACACCACCAGUUCACUACACAUGAUUCCACUAAUUUCACCUAACUAAUUUUCGCCAGUACGUAAAACUGGUUCAAAUGUUUGUCGUUGUUUUCACACUACCUUGAUUACGGCGACAUUACGUGCAGCUUAUUCAGUUGCUACCUAAAGCUGCGUUCCCCUUUGUACUUUCUAUUAUUGAGUUGGAUGAAUUUGCCUGGGCAUCCCGUGCACCCCAACCCGGGAUGUAAGCUCGCUAUUCUCUUGAAACUAUCGUAUUCUGAUCUGCACUAAGGAUCUCUUUCCAUUUGUAACUGGACCUACGGCUGUAAUAAAGCCGUUGCUUGCCUUACGUCAAACUGGCGUUCUUCCUCUGGUUGUACCAUUCUGAUCGAAGUUUCAUCCAACUGGUUUUUGAUGUGUUUUAUUUUCUUCCUCAUUCAUUUUUCUUCGAGACAUUUUGUAUUUUUUUCCUUUUUAGUUUAAAAAAAAAUCUUUCUGUGUUCAAUUCUCGGAUAUCACAUUAUUUUGUUAGAGUCACAACGCGCUUGGUUUCUUCUCGCGUUUUUAGCCGCUCAUGUUUUAUGAUGGCUUUGUAUAUCAAUAAACUAUACCGAUCGCUAGUAAAAUUAGACUAAAAUUUUUUCCGCACUCUCACUUUGCCUUACAUUCGCGUUAAUUAUUUUAAUUAUUUCUCCGUGUUGCACUGGUGCUUUCGGGGUUGAUUUUUCAUCAUUGAAAUUAUAAUGCUGCUGGGAAGGUUGGUUGCACGGUGAGCAUCGGAUGAGCAAUGCAGUCCUCUCUGGAGCCACCAUAUAAUAAUGAUGUGUUUUCUGAAAGGUUCUUUGUUCGAGUUGUUCCAGACUGUGCAGGAGGUUCCUCUUCGGAGCCACCAUCAGUCUUGCUAAAUAAAGCUACUUUGAAUACUGUUUCAACUAAAAUCAUAUUGAGAUGCUUUUUUGUGAUCUAUAUUUUGAUUAUAUUCUCAUCACGAUAAAGUUUUGAUUUACUGCAAAUAUGCAUCUUUUAACCCUGUACACAGAGACAGAAAAAGAACUAAAAGUCACAUAAGCGAAACUUUUCAUCGUUCAACAGUGGACUUUCUCGGACAGUUUCUAACAACCAUUGUCUAUAUGCUUAAACAAUCUAAGAAUCGCAGACAGAUUCAAGUUUUAUUUCUGAAAUUGAAAUUUAAAAAAUGUUCUAUCUCAAGUGUUUUGUGUGGUGGCCAUUCUUGUACAUUAUCUGGUAUUGCGAGAAAAAUAUCAACGUUGUUUUUCCCUAGCAGACAUCCUGUGUCUCGCUAAAAAUAGCAGUAAAAACAUAAAAAAAGUUUUGUGAAAAUUCUCCAAAGGAAUUUGUAGGAAAAUUCUUAAAAAUCUUCCUAAAAAAUGCUUUAAAAAUUCUCGUCUCGGAGGUUGGGGUGGGAUAGGGAAUUUCAGGGAGAUUUCUUGGCACAUCCCAGGAGAAUCCCUAGAAAAAUCCGGAUGAAUAUUGCGAGGAAUUUCCUGGAGAAUAUUUCGAGGAAAUACCUUCAAUAUUAUUCUCGACAUGAAGGUUCGAGGCUGAAUUGUUGAAGAAAGUUUUCUACUGAAAAAUAUAAAAUAGUUCUUCAAUAUUCAGUAGUUAUGCUAACAACAAAUCAAAGAAUUCUUGAGCAAUUUUUGGGAAAUUUUUUGAAGAACCAUUGACAAAAUCAAAAAGGUAUCUCAAAAAAAAAAAAUCUCGAAAAAACUUAAGAUAUUUGCAAGAAAAAUAAGAAACAGUUCCAUUUUUUUAUUAUAGAAUUUCUGUGAAAAUUCAGUAGCUGUUUCUAGCAGAAUAGAACAAUCAUAGCCAACCACUAAUCGUAUAAUACGUAAAUUUACGCAUAUCGCUCACACUUUAACAUCUUAUUCAGCAUCUUAUACGAUCACUGGUUGGCUGAUAUAAUCGAAGUAUAUUUGAAGAGAAUUUCUGGAUGAAUAAUAAAAAAAAAUUACGUCCGAAAAGAAAAGCAUUCUGCAGAAAAUUCAAUCUGUGUUCAAGCGAAAAUAAGAGGAAACUUUUGGGCAAGCUUCUAGGAGUGAACCUUCGACAAAUCCCCAUAAGUCUUGCGGAUGACUCCUCUUUGGAGCCACCAUCAAUAUUUCUAACAGAAGCUUUUUUGAACAAUACUUUUACUUAACCCUCGAGCAGUCGCGUCUUUGACUACCUGCAACGACGCCACGCUCACGCUAUGUACCACAAGCGUGCAAUUUUCAUGGUGCGUGUAGUCGAACUGAGGAAGAGUCUGUAAUAAUUUCCAAAUAAUUCCAAUUAAUUUAUCGAUCAUUACAUCAACCAAUGAACCAAACCAAUGAACUAAUAAACAAUAAAUGCUGUUGAAACGAAUGCAUAGAGUGAAAAAAUCGGCUUUUCGUUGUGCUAUGCAUAAGUAGUGUAGUGUUUGUCUAGAAUUUUCAUUUCAUCGUACAAGUGGGGCAAGUCAUACAACUUCCAUUUAGAUCCUUUACGUCCUUUUCAUUUAUCAUGACAUCAUUUCAAUAUUAAAUGAAAAUAAGCCACACAAAAUAUAUAUGGAACAGUAUGGAUAGCGAACCCGUUGCAUUCCAAGAGUUACAUCGAUUACCAUCAAUAUUUACCCCUCUUUUACUUUGAAUACCUUAUUCCGAUUAACCACAUCUUAUGCGAGAAAAAAAAAACAAAAUAAGCAAUCUAUCAUAAGUUUAUCAUCAUUGCUACCAUCAUUAUCUUUGCUCUUUUUCGUUUGUGAUCACAUGUGCUACAUGCUUACCACAAUAUCACUUCAUAAUAGCUGAAUACUAAUCGAGUAGCUGAAAUAAUAAUAGAAACAUGAAUAUGAUCUAUCAAUAGGCCAUUUUGUAGGACAUAAUCUAGCUUGUCGAUAAUACAGAAACUCAACCAAGAGAAACUGUACAGGUUUAUUGUGAAACAAAUAAUCAUCUUAACCAACGCAACUUUUGUACACAUUAAAAAAAUCACUUCAAAGUGUAGGACACAACACAGUCACGAAAUUCAAAGUACAUCAUAAAAAUAUAACUCAAUAAUGAUGAAUACAGGACCCAACAGAACAACACAUUGUUAGAAUAACGAAAAGGCCAAACACUUUCUCCAGUUCCAAGUUUUGAAUACUUAUACAUACAAACAAAACACAAAUGUUUCCGUUUCUGUGUGAAUACACUCCUACCUACUUCUCAAAACGAAAACCAUAGCAAUAAAUCGAUCACCUAGCAGUAUCAUAUACCACGAACGCCUAUCAGUAGUGCGUCUGUGUUUGUAGAAAAUGUUGACAGAAUUGUUGUUGUUGUUACACAAAUUGUAAACAAACUAUGAGAUGCCCGAUAACCGACUGUGGCGCAGAAACGCUCGCAGUCGCACAUACUAUUACUCUAAAACAGUUGGGACAGAUAUUACACGGAAAACACACACACACAUACUCACGCGUAGCUACAUUAACCAGAAUAGUUUAGGCUGAUAUUCUCCUUCGCUAGUAAGUAGGACCAGCUGUGAUUGUUUUAAAUUUUUAUAAGUUAGAUAACGGACAGAAACGUAAUUGUAAUAACAAGGGAUUGAGUUUCGAAUCGGUAGGUAUUUCAAGCAGCUUUAUGACCACCCUAGAUAUACAUAUAACUGAAGACGGUGCGAAUUUUCAAUUUCUACUAAUAAUAUUUUAACUAUUUAGGUGCGGUUCUUUUAGUGGAAUAAAUUAGUGUUUGCAUUUUCUUAAGAAAGACUUCCAAAGCCACAAUGUAAUGAAAUUGUUUUUCAAGACAACAAUUUCCCUUUUUUGUGAUUAUUCCCAACGUACGGCAGAGAAUUGGGGAUUCUACUUGAGUUCGAAUAGUAUUAUUCGGUGCAUUUCCUGUAAGCAAGAAAACUCGACUUACCAUUUUUUGCUGAAAAUAUGAUUUUUGCCAUGUUUAGCUUCCUGAAUAUGAGAUAUUUUUAGCUCUAGGAUUACAAGAUAAGAUAUUUUACAAAUGCGAUCUAGUUUAAGAAUGAAUGCGAUGAACAAAUUAUCUACCAAUGAAUACUGUUUUAUUUAUAAUCAAAUUAAAAUACUGCAAAUAAUUGAACAUUGUAGCGACAAAAAGUCUUUAAAAUGAAUUAAAUUGUUGGUAAAACGAAAUAUACGCAGCGCCCCUCAACACCCAAAAAAGCCAUCAUUUGAAACGGUUAGCAGGCACUCAUAUAAUAAUUAACAGAAAACACGAAUAUAAAUAGACACAUUCAUAUUUAAUACGAACAAUGGAAAAACAAUGUAAUGUAAUUACUGCUUUCGAAAUGUGUGUGUCAGUCAUCGUAACAGGGGCAUGAACAUAGUAAACGGUGAUACUUGAAACCCAGUGAAAAUAGCAUACAAUUGAUUAAACAAAUAAACCGAACAAAUUAUGUACCCCCAUCAAAACCGAAUAGAUAAAACACUAACCUAUUCUAGAGUCUUACCAAGAAAAUAUAUAUAUUUAAAUAAA
Molecule: long non-coding RNA, 18080 nt
Organism: Aedes albopictus (Asian tiger mosquito)
Lineage: Eukaryota; Metazoa; Arthropoda; Insecta; Diptera; Culicidae
Exons: 2
Source: RefSeq, a predicted model, not a curated record